Long non-coding RNA from Mus musculus (house mouse), 13414 nucleotides. RefSeq annotates it as predicted gene, 33548. The record is from RefSeq and is a predicted model, not a curated record. Lineage: Eukaryota; Metazoa; Chordata; Mammalia; Rodentia; Muridae. The transcript has 3 exons.
AAUUAAUAUAAAGAGUCACAGUGGCAACCGGCUAGAAAACUCAGUAUGAUUAAUAGGUCAAUUGUCCCCAAUUGACUUGAAGAUUUAUUGAGAACUCAUUAAAAAUGUCACUAGGCAUUUUGGUAGGAAUUGAAUAUGAAAUUCAUCCAGAAAUGCAAGGCUUGAAGAGCGGACAUUGUGUGAGAGCUGGAGGAUCAACGUGAUACAAUUACAAAACUUUAUAUAAAACUAAACCCAGUCAGUGCACUACAUAUAACCCAGGGAAGAAAACAGAGAGACCAGGGCAAAGAUCUCUGCACAUACAUGUACAAGUGGGUUUUGACAUAAACAUAAAGUAACGUGGUUAUCAGAGAAACAUUCUUUUUUUUCUUUCUUUUUUAUUUUUAUUAGAUAUUUUCUUUUUUGACAUUUCAAAUGUUAUCUCGUUUCCUAGUUUCCCCUCCGAAAAUCCCAUCCCCUCCCAACUAACCCUGCUCACCAACCCAUCCACUCCCACUUCCUGGUCCUGGCAGUUCCCUAUACUGGGGCUUAGAACCUUCACAGGGCCUCUCCUCCCAUUGAUGACUGACUAGCCCAUCCUCUGCUACAUAUGCAGUUGGAGCCAUGAGUCCCACCAUGUGUUUUCUUUGAUUGGUGGUUUAGUCCCAGGGAGCUUUGGGGGAUACUGGUUAGUUCAUGUUGUUGUUCCUCCUAUGGGGCUCCAAACCCCUCAAGCUCCUUGGGUACUUUCUCUAGCUCCUUCAUUGGGGACCCUGUGCUCUCUCUAAUGGAUAUCUCUGAGCAUCCACUGCAGAGAAACAUUCUAGACAAUCAAAACUAAAACAACUGGAUGUAACCAAACCACAAAAUAAGUCUGAAUGAUGGAAGUCUCAAGCACUGUCAACAUCAAUGAACAUAAAUUUAUAAGGGCAUACACAGGACAAAAUAGUUGGGAUACUGGCCUACACAAGCAUGGCAGCUACAGUGUAAAGCUCAUGAAAGAACAAAUGUAGGAUUUCAGAACAAAUACAACAAAAAAAUUAUCAAGCUUGCUUUUUAAAAGAGAUGGUCUCUCAAAUAGAAGAUGAUAUUUGUCAUACUUUAUCUGAAGGAACAUACAGAGAACAUGGAAAUGUAAAGAUUUAUUUUGGCUUGUGGUUUCUGAGUGUUCUAUGUUGUUCAUGUACGUGGGCAUAACGGCUCAGGGCCAGUAAUCUGUGUUAUGUUCAUAUCACAGCAAGCAGGAGGUAGAGUGAGACAGCAUGCAGCUAGGGAUCACAUUUUCCAAGGGCCCAUCUCCAGAGACCUAGCUCUGUCCUACAUCCAGUUUCCAGAACCUCCCCAAAUAGAAAGGGACUCAGAUGAAUAUUGGGAAAGGUCUAACAGUGGGGAGAGGGAACAUGUAGAACUCAUCUCUAGUAGAAAUCAAGUGGAGGGAUGGGGUUGCCAUCCCAGAGUCAAAAACACUGACUCAGAAUUGUUCCUAUCUAAAAGAACUUCAGGGACAAAAAUGGAGAAGAGAGUGAUGGAAAGGAGGUUCAGUGACUGGCCCAAAUUGGAAUCCAGGUCAAGGGAAGGAUCCAAGGCCUGACAAUAUUACUGAUGCUAUGGGUGCUUAUAGACAGGAACCUCGUAUGGCUGCCCUUGGAAUGGGGAAGUCUGGCAGGGUGGGGGUGAGGACAUCCUCUUGGAGAUGGGAGAGGAGGAAUAGAAUGAGGAACAGUCAGAGGGUGAACCGGGAGGGAGAUGACUAUUGGACUGUAAAAAAGAUUAAAGAAUAAUAAUAAUUUUUAAAAAAGAAAGAAAAUAUGGAAGGAAGAAAGGGAGGGAGGGAGAGAGAGAGAGAGAGGGAGAGAGAGAGAGAGAGAGACUCUGAAUUUGGAACAUAGGCAUGGGAGUGACAUUUUAGAUUUAAACUGUAUCAACUCUCAAUAGAGAGAAAACAAGCCAAUUUAAAAAAAAAAAAAAAAAGCACUGCAUUCGGAGACACAUCCUGAAAGAUGUGGAAGCCAGGGGUUCAGUGGAGAGCUUGGCCAGACUGCAUGAGGGGGCCUUGGAUUAGAGCCCCUACAAUGCUUGUCUCUACUUCAAUUAUUUGUUUCAAAUUAAAGUUAUGUUUUCUCUUAGUUGCAGCUUCUAUUUCUCCCUCCUCAGACUUCUUCUGAUAUGCAAGAGAACAAACUUAAUUUUGUUGCUGUUUUGUUCCUUUAAGAUGGAGGAGAGACAGACAGAGAAAGAACAUUAUGUUGGGUGGAUAGAGAGGUAGGAAGGAUCAUGGAAGGAGGAGCUGAGAAGGCGGAAGUAUACUAUUAAAGUAUACUGUAUGUAAAAAAAUGUAAGAGUAGGUGUGGUGGAAGAAACUAUACAUUGCCUAUUAAGAUGUUCUAGAAUACUGGAAUUUUAGCCUGGAGACCACAAUUAUGAGUCAGGACUGUGUAUCUCAAGGCAACAUCUCAAUGCCAGGGGCUCAGGGUAUACAUGAUCAGAUGUGCACUUCCUUUCUACUCUGCCAAAUAGAAGUUAUAAAGAAAUCAGAGGCCUUCAGAACAUUCAAAAGAAUGAGAAUGAAUUUCCUGGACUGAUUAAACAGGCUGUACAAUUGAGCUCAAUUUCUUGUAUUUAAUAUAUAUUAUGUGCAAUUGUAUUAUUAUAUUAAUUAUAUAGCAUUAUAUUGAUCAUAAAAUUAUAUCAUAUUAACUAUAUUAUGAUAUGUAAUUAUAUUAUGUAUAUGUAUUUUUUGCAUUUUCAAGGUCAAUCAUUUAACCCUCUACUUUCGUCUAUAGGAUAUGGUAGUCUACAAUUUGCUUCCCGGCUUUCUAACACUUUUAAAUUAGGAGCUCCAUAUAAGUUAAAAGUGCCACCUCACUAUUAAACCUAAUGCUCUCCCCCUGAGUUAUCAUUAUUUCUGUUUCACUGCGUGGCUCCCUACACCAACAUACAUUAUAAUGAUUAAUUUUACAUGUCAACUGUUUAGGGCCUAAACCAUAUUAAAUAUUAUUUCUGGGUAUGUCUGUGAGGUUGCUUUAUAUGUAAAAUUAGCAUAUGAAUCAAUAGACUCAGUAAAGAGGACCAUCCUCAAUGUAGGUGGGCAUCAUGUAAUCCUUUGAGAUUGAGGACUGCAAGGAAAAGGCAUAAGAAGAGCGAAUUUCCUUCUAGUUUUCUUGUCUUACUGCUUGAGGUAGAAUGUCGCAUUUCCUCUUUUCCUGACCCUGGACUUAAAUUUACAGUAUCAUUUCCCAUAUUUUCAAGCUUUUGGACUGAGGACAAAACCACCUCAGAGAAGACAGGCUUCUUGGUCUAGGGUGGUGAAACUUUUUGUGGAGGGAGAGAGGGAGGGAGGGAGAGAGGGAAGGAGGGGGAGAGAGAGAGAGAGAGAGAGAGAGAGAGAGAGAGAGAGAGAGAGAGAGAGAGAGAGAGAGAGGAGGAAAGUCAUUGAGCCUAGUGGCUAGGUAAACAUGAAUCAAGCAUGUAAUUAGAUUGACUUUUCUUUUAAAUUAGCUGUUGUGGUGCAUAAGUCAUGGCAAGGAAAUCCUUGGAACAUGUGCCCCUGCAGUCCUGGAAAGAAAUGGCAAAAGCCAUUUAGACCAGAUAACAGAAGUAGAAACAGAGAUAACAGUGAAUAGUCUGUUCAACUGUGUGUAACUGUUGACCCUCCAGAUAGAAAACCUCAAGAUCCAAAUUAUGAUACUAAAAAAUUAGAACAAACAAAUAAACAAACAAACCAAUCCUCAAGGCUAGUUACCAAAGAGCUACCAUUUCCAUAGCCAGAGGCCUAGCGGAUAGAAGGCUACUGUUUAUGAAUCCUGCAUUGUAUUAUUGUUUAUGCACAUGUGUUGUCUCACUACCAUAGUAUAAACACUCUGAGACUACUCCCUUUCAAAGUAAUUGGGAGUGUAGACAGUGUCAUGGCUCUAACAUGCAGAAUGUUACAUCAUCCCCACACCAUUAAAAAUAGAUGUACGGAUCACUGUGGUUAGAAAUGCCCCACCCUCCAUAUCCCAUGGCCAUGCUUCUCCUUUUUUUUUGCUCAUUUGUUUUUUGUUUUGUUUUUUUUUUUUUUAAACCUUGGGCUCAUUGAAGGUAGAUAUGGCAAAGAGAAUAAACAGUCACAACUGACAAUCAGAUCAUUCCACAUGGUAAAGAGCUACAUCUCUGCAUGUCUGUGACUUCUGCUGUGAAUUCCAAGGUGGAACACAUUAUUGUGCACAUCAUUAGUAUUUUGUAACAGCCCAGGAAUCAUUUCUGAAAUAAACAAUGCCAUAUGUAUUAAAUGAUUUCUUCCUAAGAAAAAUCCCUAGGGUCUUUCCUAAAUACUAUCUUGAUGAAGAUUUAGAAUACUGAAUGACUGUCAGUGUGCUCAGUUUUAUAUCAAAUUCCCACAUAAAUCAGAACACACAUGGAGGAUGGAUAAACUGUCUUAAGGAAGUGAGGUACAAUUAUCAAUACAUCCACAUUUCCUAACUCAGAUGGCCAUGGUGCAUGCAGUCCUCCAUUGACUUGGCCCCUCCUUUCUUCGCCUCCUUUCACUAUACAACCUGGAAGAGUGACACUCCUGAUAUCUUAAUUACUGCUCUGUUGCUGGAAUGAAACACCAUGAACAAGGCAACUUAUAGAAUAAAGAGUUUAUGAGAGUUUACAUGUUUAACGUGAGUCUAUGACUAUCACAACCAUGAGUAUGGUGCCAGGCAGGCAGGCAGGCAUGGCACUGGAGCAGUAGCUGAGAACUGAGCAGCAAGUAUGCCAUAUAGACACACACACACACACACACACAGUCGGGUUAAUUGGGAAUGGUGUGGGCUUUUGAAACCUCAAAGCCUAUGCCCAGUGACCCAUCUUCCCUAAGAAGACCACACCUCUAAAUCCUUCCCAAACAGUUCUGACAACUUUGUGCCAAGUGUUCAAAUGUAUGAACCAAUAGUAGCAAUUCUCAACCCAACUACCACCCUUGAUAAAGGCAAGCUGAAGCAGAGACCAGUCAUUAUAAGGAGUCAUUACUCUGACAGAAAGGGAAACAGUUUUUGUAAAUUUUAUCGCUUUUGUAAAUACUUAUGUGAAUCAUCGACCUUGAUUCUCCUGGGCUCUAAGAUACAUACAAAAGGCUUUUUAACCUUUCAGGGCCUACACUAGCAAAUGAGCUUUUAGUGAGUGACUGUCACUUCAAAUCUUCUACAGGAAGUUCAGGGUAUCAAAUUAAAAAUUGAAUAGUAGAAAUAAAAUAAUGGAUAGGUGUGGUUUAUGUCUGACUGAGAACAAAUUUAUUAAAGCAUGAUGUUUAUUACAGAAUUCUCCAAUGUUUUGCAUGAUAUUGGCUUGGUACAAAUUUCACUUUAUUUCAACUAACUUUGUAGCAGAAAUUAGCACCUCUCUAUUAUCAAAUACCCUAUACUAGAUUUAAAGCUAAAAACUUAGAGACCAAUAUGAUAUAAAAGUCCUUCGAUCCAUAAGAUGCUAAAAAUGUAGCUCUUUUUCAGAAGUGAUGUUUUCCACUUUUCCAAUGUACAAAGCAAAGUUUUAUUCAGUUCAUCAGACCAAUCUACAUAGAGCUCACUUUACAUAUUUUAUGUGUAUGCUUUGCACUUCUGUCUAUCAAGGAAGAUAUCUCAAGAGCUUUAUUCUCUAUUCAUGCCUUUCCCUUGGCUACAUUUCUUUUUUUAAGACACAUUAUAUAAAUGUUCCAUCAACUCCUCUUAUUCUCAUCAAAAUAAUUUAUAACUUAUGCCAGCAGUUAAAAAUUUUGUUGACAAGAAACUCUUUAUGGAAUAUAAUUAUCACCAUUUGCAUUUCCAGCCCAGAGAGUUGUCAUUUAAAUUGCCCCAGUAUUGUUUUUAAUACUUCUGCUAAAACCUUCCUUAUAUAGUCUACAAUAUGGGGAUCAUACUUCUCACCCAUAACACAUCACCUACUGCUCUUCUGGUCCUCCACUGUCCCUUGCUGAGGUCCCUAUCUUCCAUUUUCAGACAUGGAGGAAAAUGUAAGCCAUAUAAAAAUACAUAAACAAAGUAUCAAAUGUAGCCUAAGUAUAUGCUCAGCACCAACUGAUCUCAACUCCUAUUUGGGUACAUCAGUUUUGUUUUGUUUUGUUUUGUUUUGUUUUGUUUUGUUUUGUUUUGUUUUGUUUUAAUUAUGAUGCAAUACAUCUAUGGUUAUCUUGUUAUCUACAGUGAUUGUUUACAAUCUCGUUUUUGGCAACAGUCUCAAAGAAAUUAGAGAAAAUUAAUUGGCUUUAGAAGCUUUUUUUUUUCUAUAAGCCACACCAGCAUUUCAUGUCUUGUUUCAUUCUUUAUGAUUUUCACAGGGCAGGAAAGCCCAAUUGAGCAAGUAGUGUAUCUGGCAGAUGGCACCAGUAGUGCCUAAACACUGAAGGAAUGGUACAGAUUACGAGGAUAAGCUGUGCAAAAUGUAGGGAUGACUCCAAGGUACCAAGAGAAGGACAGAGAGAGGCCUUUCACAAACCCUGUCUAUGUAAGUGUUUGUGAUUGUUUGGGGAAUGUCUAUGGUGAAGAUAAACAGGAGCUGUGGAACUUGCUCUGUCAAGCUGUCUUCCGGGAAUGUGUCUGACGAUGUUAUCAGUGGGUCUAAAGAUCAAAAGAACUGUCACAAUCAGCAACCAGCUGAACAUUUACUACCUACAGAAGCAAAGGAUCAACUAUCUCCUACCCAGUGGAGCCUGUCUGCAUGCUGCCACUACUUUUCAGAGAAAGCCAACCGCUGAUUGGAAUUUGAGGACCUGUGGUAAUAAAGGAUCAGACCUGGACUGGUAAUAUGACUCAGGAGUAAAGGUGAUGGCCAGCAAGCUAGCCCAAGUUUGAUCAUUAGGACCACAUGAUAGAAACAGAGAACCAAGUCCUAUAAACUGUCCUUUAAUCUCUAUACAAUGUCCUGGAAGCAGACCAUAAAACCACAACUGCAUAAACCAAACAAGUAAAUGGUUUAAAGUUGGAUCAAAUUUUGCAAAUGGCCACUAACUCAAAAACUUUGAUGAUUAUAUUUAAUUGAAGUCAUACUUCACUCAGAGAGCAUUGCUGUAGACCAUGGAUUAAGACAGGACCAACAGAGUUGGUGUCUUGCUCUUUUAUUGGGAAGACUGAGGCUCACUUUAUUUUGGAUUCUUGGCAAUUUUCCAUCUGGAUAUCUUUUUUUUUUUUUUUAUUUCUAUGACAUUUCCCCUUACAUGCUGAGUUUUAAUAUCUUAACAUUUUUGUUGUCAAAAAUUAAAACACAAAAACAAACAAACAAAAAACCAAAACAAAACAAAAGUCACUGAUUUUUCUCCUACCUUCUAACUAACAUGACUUAACAUGACUGUGGAUUUUUCCACAGUGUGCCUUGUCCUGAGCAAGCAUUGAAUUCUGUGGGUCCUCACCAAUGCCUGAAUUCAUGGUCCUCAGGAAAUUUAUUUUUGUUCAUGUGUCUGCUGUUCAGAUGCUCCUCAUAGAGACUUCCUCUCCUUUUCCUUUGUUUUUGGACCUAUGUCUUCAGGACAGCCCCGAUUCUUCUACCAGUUCUGAACUAAAGCUUCCUAGUUCUGAGUGUGAAGAGAGCACUGAGAAGAUGGGAGAGAACAAAGUCCACACCAAGAAACAGAGUAUGUGGACUGUGUUCUCUCAGGCCAAAGCUGCGUGUACUUAAGGACAGGUUUCAGGGGCAGAGGUAUCUCAGCCUCUGGCAGAUGCAAGAACUGUCUCUGCCACUCUAAAGCAUAGCUAGAAGCAGGUUAAAACCUGGUUCCACUGCAACCCUAUAGGUGGAACAACAUUAUGAACUAACCAGUACCCCGGAGCUCUUGACUCUAGCUGCAUAUGUAUCAAAAGAUGGCCUAGUCGGCCAUCACUGCAAAGAGAGGCCCAUUGGACUUGCAAACUUUAUAUGCCCCAGUACAGGGGAACACCAGGGCCAAAAAGGGGGAGUGGGUGGGUAGUGGAGUGGGGGUGGGUGGGUAUGGGGAACUUUUGGUAUAGCAUUGGAAAUGUAAAUGAGCUAAAUACCUAAUAAAAAAUGAAAAAAAAAAAAAACCUGGUUCCAAAACCAGAGAAUGAAAUAUAAGCGAUGGCAGAAAAAUCAAUGGCUGAAGAUUAGCAACAAUGUGACCAGAAGGGCUUAGCAUCUGUAGAGAAUACUAGCCUCCCUUCCAGCUAUCCCCAGGGCAACCAGUUGAACACAUCUGGAAAUCUUCCAGUGUGGGGCAGCCAUACUUGAAACAGCUCGCCUAGAUAUAAUCAGACUUGGACCAAUCUACCCUGGAGCAACCAACUUGCAGCAAGCAGAUCUGGAACAAAACACUCAUGCCUGGUGUAUUCAAAUCUGAAACAGUUGGGCAUGGACUGUUCCUUUCUAUAACUGUGGGGCAGAGUCUACAGGCUUACAUGCAGUUCCAGCAGAACUUCUCUGCCAGUGAUUUGGAGGCAAAUUUGGAGGCCAAGUAUGCACAUUUUAGCACCCCAUAAACUUUGGAAUUCCUACUAUGAAUUUGCCAGGUGAAGUGUGAGGAUGUUAGCUCAACCUAAAGUUAGGGUAGUGGCUGGAUUACUUCCUUCUCCGAAAGAUUUUCAUAUUGCGUAGUAGUAGUAGUAGUAGUAGUAGUAGUAGUAGUAGUAGUAGUAGUUGUUGUUGUUGUUGUUGUUGUUGUUGUACUAGCAGCAGCAGCAGCAGCAACAGCAGCAGCAGCACUUUGGUGCCAGAUAGGACCUUAGACCUUGAACAUGGGGGGCACCCACUCAACUGAGCUCUAUUUGUAACCCUGUAUUGCUGUAUUUGUCUUAGCUGUGUAAUUGUCUUCUUUAGUGUUGUGCUGGAUAUUAAAUCAAGGGCUUUAGAGAUAAUGAAUUACCUCUGUGAUGGUUUGUAUAUCCUUGGACCAGGGAGUGGCACCAUCUGAAGGUGUGGCCUUGUUGAAAUAGGUGUGACCUGGUUGGAAUGGGUGUGUCACUGUGGGUGUGGGUAUAAUAUCCUCACCCUAGUUGCCUGGAAGCCAGUCUUCCACUGGCAGCCUUUGGAUGAAGACAUAGAACUCUCAGCUCCUCCUGGACCAUGCCUGCCUGUUGCUCCCACCUUGAUGAUAAUGGACUGAACCUCUGCACCUGUAAGCCAGCCCCAAUUAAAUGUUGGUUUUUUUUUUUUUUAUAAGACUUGCCUUGGUCAUGGAGUCUGUUCACAGCAGUAAAACCCUAACUAAGAUACCCCCUCCUCCCCCACAUACUCAUACACCCUUACCAACCCCAGUUUGUCUUUUCUUAGAAACAUGGGUCUUGCUGUACAUGGUGUGUCCAUUUCAGGGGUGAGGUUUAACUGGAAUCUGAAACAAGGAGGUCUGAAUGACUUUUCCUGCUACAGAAAUAGGCAUGAGGGCACUAGCUACAGGUCUAGUACGUUUGGGAUGUGAUCUAAAGGUGUAAAAAGUAAUGAUUCCUUCAAAUAUGGUGGCCACUCUGGAGGAUGCAGUAGAAGGAUCACAAGUUUGAGGCUAGCACAGAUAUACAGUAAGUUCAAGUCUAGCAUUUAAAUAGUAAGAUUGCAUCUGACCAGAAUAAAACUAGCUCUUUGGUUGGAGGAGAACUUCUGCCUUGGCAAUUAGGAGAUGUAACCUGUUAAGUAUAUUUUGUUCAUCGCCUCCAUUUCUUUGGAGACUCACCAUGAGUACCUCUAUGUUAAUUAAUAUCUAUAGAAAGAUGCUUAUAUGUGACUAUACCAUGAUAAGCCAAUGCCAGUUUGACUAUUGUAUGUAAAAAACAAACAAACAAACAAACAAAAAACCCACUAACUUUAUCUUAAAAGAAAAAAAGACACACCCCUCAUUUGUCAGAAGCAGCAACUUUAUUAGAAAACACUUCUCUGGGCCAGAGGAGGCAACCAAGCUACUGUGUCUCCCUAAAGUUUUUCCCCAUCACUAGCGCCUUAAAACCUGUUCCAUUAAAAUUAAAACCUAUCAGCACCACAAGUCUUCAAACAUCCUUAAUAAGAUUUCUUAUAUAAGUGUAAAUUUGAACCAAUUUUUCUUCUAUCUUCAGACAGAUUUUUCUCCAUUCCAAAUAGUGAGAAAGCACUGUGGCCAAAGGUCUAGGACUUAGCUUUGAUUUCCGAUUUGCAUCAUAAUAGAGUUCAGUAUACCACUGGCCAUCAUAAGGCCUAACAAAGCAGUAUCUUAAUUAGCCUUUGGUGGCCCUCAGGAAGAUCUGUAAAGAGGGAAAACCCUCCAGAGACUAGCAACAGUCAACAAGGUCACAGAGAAACUAAGCUGCCAAGAUUUCCUCAAAGACUCGCUUGUUCAAUUUUAGACCAUCUGCUUGGCAGAUGCCUCCUAGACAUUCUCUAGCAUAAACAUGAAGUCCACAGAGAUUUCGGAAGAUACUCACUCAUGAGUAAAGAACUCACCUAGAAAAAAAAAGAUGAAAGACUUUUUGUGUACCUGGUAAUACAAAACUAUUUUAGCAAGUUAAUACAAUGAAAGAAAGCUAUCAGGUAUCAUGAGGAUUUUAUAUUAAAUAUUACAUAUUUUCUCAGCCACUGUGAACCUGAAGGUGAUGAUUCUGUAUGAUCCUGGGAACACACAUUUUAGUAUUCAAAGGCAUUUGUAACAUGUUACCCUGUAUGACACGUGCACGUGUGUGUGUGUGCACGCACGUGUGCGCAUAAACAAACAUACACACAACCCACCACCAUCAAAGAACCCAAGCACUACCAAAACUGUCGACUCUGAGCAGACUUAGACAAAAUGACUAACAUGGGGAUUAUAAGGACCACUCAUAUUAUUAUAAGGAUAAAAUUAAUGUUUCCUGUGUGGACCCUUCAUUUAGGAAGCCAGUAAUGUAAUUGAGAAUACCAGGUUGAGAUGACACUGUCGGUCUCAAACAUUGAAAUGAUGACCUCUUGACACCAAGCCCGCCUUUCUAGAUCCUGUCUACAAACAGCCUUGAUGUGAGUCCAUACCACUGCUGUCAACAACCCUUUUGUCACAGGUAGACCAUGCUUGCCUAUUCAGAAGUGCCCAUCAGUAAAAUCUGAACUAUUGAGAAAGGAUCUUUAGAGAAUAAAGGUAAAUUCUUUAAGCAAAGUGGAUCAUCAUAAGUGAGUACAAGAUGCCCAGUUCAUUCCUAUAUUAAUGAGGGUUCUCUGGAGAAAUAAAACCAAUGGGAUUGGUAGAUAGAUACAGAUAUGGAUAUUAUAUUAACUAAUUUAUUAGGUUAGCUUUAAAAUAGCAACAAUACCAGUAUCAUGCCUGAGAGCUGAGAACAUAAUAGCUACUCAGUACUUGAGGCUGGGUGCCUCAGCAAUUGGGGGAGCCCCUCAACAGCCCAAACAUUAAUGGGCAACCAUUGGUUUCUAGUCCACAGUGAAAGCCUGGUUUUAAUAUCUGCAAAGGUUUCAUCACCAUCUUCACCAUCAUCACCAUCACCAUCACCAUCACCUUGACUAGCACAGCUAAUCAACUCAGCAGCAAGAGAGAAGACUAAAGAGCAAAAGAGGAAAUGAUCUCCUGCAACACCCAGUUUAAUUGGACUGCUAUCAGAAGAUAACACACACAACUAGGGUGGUUCUUUCCACAUCCAUGGGAGCAAUCCAGUCAUUUCUUCAGGUGAGGCUUCACUCUCUACUUAGUAGUACACUGACAUUACAACCAAACAUCAUAGCUCCCACUUACCCAGCCUAUCUUUUUAGUCCACAUUCCCAUGUCUGGAUUCAAGCCAUACACAAGCAAAGCUCUUCCAACCUGUGUGCUGUUAUUGCUCACACUAAAUUUCAGCCUAGGAUAUCUUCCUGGAUACCUUCUGAAAACAUGAGGUGCUCACACACCAACUCCACAUUCCUGCUCCACUACAAGACCCUCCUGGCUAAUCCUGCUCACUGUCACGUCAUUUCUCCAGGUAUUUUUCUUAAGACUUGCUUUAGUACUUUGCUUAGUUUGUGCAGAAGCGCAAAAGAGAUUCUUUUUUAAGCAAAUGGUUGGUCUUAUACUGUCAGGAUUUUUCUCUUUUCUUUUCUUUUUUUAAAUUCUAAUUUCGUGGGUUAAAUAUUUUGUUAUAUAUAGUUUAUUUGUGUGAUACAGCUGAUUUAGAACCCCUAGGUAGGGACAGGGAGGCUUCAUCAAAACUUGUAAUAACUGAAAAAUUUAAAUUUAGAAUACAUGAAGGUCCCUCAAAUGAGAACGUUCCCUGAUAAUGCUGUAGUGCAAUCUGAAUACUAAUCAUCCAUGCAAAAAUGGAAAUGGUCCUUUACUCUCCAGGGUCUGCAGGUUAGAAAAGAACAAGCAAGAGCUAGCGAUGGAGCUUAGUGGUACAGCACUUAUCUAACACACAUUCUCUCUCUCUCUCUCUCUCUCUCUCUCUCUUUCUCUUUCUCUCUCUCUCUCUAACACACACACAUACACACACACACACACACGAAAGCAAAAAAUGGUAGUUAUAUUUCUGUUCAGGCAGAGGUUUAACAAGCUAAGGCAAUCAUUAAAGGGAGCCAAAUUCAAAAGUGGGCUUGAAGCAGGAAAGGAAAGGAAGUCUCUCAGGAGGUGGGAUAAAUACUGUAGUAUGUAGAAGUGAAUAGUAAAUCCCAUUCUCGGGAGAGAGAAAGUAAAGAUGGAAAUCUCUGGGGAUCAGUAACAAAAGGGACAGGAUCACAGUGACUUUGUCUCCGGGCUGGGGCUACCAUGACAGCCAGGCAGAGGAAAGGUCAGGAAAGGUCAGUGCCCUUCUGCAUGUGGGGUUGGUUUGUUUGUUUUUCUCUUCCAUUAACUUCCCCCAUGUCCUGAGGGCUCUUUGUAAGGUGAUUUAUUUUGCAGCUGGAAGUCCACUCUCUGGAUGCUUCUUCCUUGCCUAAGAACAAUGAGGAUGUGGAGGAAGAACACUGGAACAGUGUCCAAACAUAACAGACACUGACUCUAUCUGCCCAAACUCCACUACAGUCCUUCCUAGGACACAUCUGACAAUCCAUACACUGUCGCACCUGCCUUCAAUAGGCAAGGAGCCUAAUCUUGCUGACGUACAGGCGCAGACAUCCUCGACUGACAAUUUUCUCUCCUAGGGAUGAGGGGAAUGGCAAGCACGACCUUCUUUAAUACCGCAGAGAAGCAGCAAUGAGCACCUGUGAGCACCUGUGCACUCUGGCAUCUGGCAGACAGCUUGAGAUGGACGGCACAUUUACAUGAUUCAAAAAUAAGAUGCUAAGACAUGACUCCUGCAUCUGUGUCCAUUGUAGCCUCCCCCAGCCUGAAGCAGGCUGGUACAAACCUUGUGGCCACUGAGGUGGGGCCACCUGUGGUGCAGCUUUUUCGGACUUGGCUGGCUCCUCUUUGAAGUGACAACUGCCCUGCUCUUCUGCUACCUGGAGAGGCUGAACCUGUCUUCCUGAGAGAUUCCCGAAUAAGCAACCAGCCUGGAGACCAACAAAGUGCUGACAGAAUGGCUCCAGGCACCAAGAGUGGACUGGGGGACAGGGGACAGGGGAC